GUGAGGAAUUUUCCGCAAUGGGCGAAAGCCUGACGGAGCAAUGCCGCGUGAAGGAUGAAGGCCUAUGAGUUGUAAACUUCUUUUCUCAGAAAAGAAUUAUGACGGUAUCUGAGGAAUAAGCAUCGGCUAACUCUGUGCCAGCAGCCGCGGUAAGACAGAGGAUGCAAGCGUUAUCCGGAAUGAUUGGGCGUAAAGCGUCUGUAGGUUGUUUAAAAAGUAUUCUGUCAAAGAUUAGGGCUUAACCCUAGAUAGGCAGAAUAAACUUUUAAGCUAGAGUUUGGUAGAGGCAGAGGGAAUUCCCGGUGGAGCGGUGAAAUGCGUAGAUAUCGGGAGGAACACCAAAGGCGAAGGCACUCUGCUGGGCCAAUACUAACACUGAGAGACGAAAGCGAGGGGAGCAAAUGGGAUUAGAAACCCGUGUAGUCC
Molecule: ribosomal RNA, 426 nt
Filed under: uncultured bacterium
Lineage: Bacteria
Description: bacterial SSU rRNA
Rfam family: Bacterial small subunit ribosomal RNA
Source: RNAcentral